AUGGAGACUGCCGCUGCCCCCGUCUCCCCUGCUCCCCGCACAGUCGAGGACAUCUUUAAGGACUUUUCCAACCGCCGCAGUGCACUCGUCCGCGCUCUCACCGUCGAUGUGGAAGACUUCUACAGGUACUGCGACCAAGAGAAGGAGAAUUCGUGUCUAUACGGACACCCCAACGGUAGUUGGGAGGUCGCGCUGCCGGCGGAGGAGGUGCCGCCGGAGAUGCCGGAGCCGGCGCUAGGGAUCAACUUCGCCAGGGAUGGGAUGCAUCGCCGCGACUGGCUCUCCCUCGUCGCCGUCCACUCGGACUCGUGGCUGCUCUCCGUUGCCUUCUUCUUUGGCGCGCGUCUCAAUGCAAACGAGAGGUACGGUUCUGCCCCAGGCUCAACAUUUUUUGAAAAAUAG
RNAcentral lists this ribosomal RNA (402 nucleotides) under Triticum aestivum (bread wheat). RNAcentral's name for it is "partial small subunit ribosomal RNA". The record is from RNAcentral. Lineage: Eukaryota; Viridiplantae; Streptophyta; Magnoliopsida; Poales; Poaceae.